GGAUGAGCGGACGAGCGGUUUAAGUCGCACGCCUGGAAAGCGUGUGUGGGCUAAUCCCCAGCGCGGGAUCGAAUCCCGCCCUCCA
This 85-nucleotide transfer RNA is filed under the name Acidovorax temperans. RNAcentral's name for it is "tRNA-Ser". It matches the Rfam family "tRNA". From Rfam's summary of the family: Transfer RNA (tRNA) molecules are approximately 80 nucleotides in length. Their secondary structure includes four short double-helical elements and three loops (D, anti-codon, and T loops). Further hydrogen bonds mediate the characteristic L-shaped molecular structure. tRNAs have two regions of fundamental functional importance: the anti-codon, which is responsible for specific mRNA codon recognition, and the 3' end, to which the tRNAs corresponding amino acid is attached (by aminoacyl-tRNA synthetases). tRNAs cope with the degeneracy of the genetic code in two manners: having more than one tRNA (with a specific anti-codon) for a particular amino acid; and 'wobble' base-pairing, i.e. permitting non-standard base-pairing at the 3rd anti-codon position. Lineage: Bacteria; Pseudomonadati; Pseudomonadota; Betaproteobacteria; Burkholderiales; Comamonadaceae. The record is from RNAcentral.